This 856-nucleotide ribosomal RNA is filed under the name Xerocrassa amphiconus. RNAcentral describes it as "partial 16S ribosomal RNA". The stretch from base 344 to 588 matches the Rfam family "Archaeal large subunit ribosomal RNA", at positions 1786 to 2143 of the family's 2987-position model. Lineage: Eukaryota; Metazoa; Mollusca; Gastropoda; Stylommatophora; Geomitridae. The record is from RNAcentral.
UUAACAAAGAUUAAUAUAUAAUAUAUCGCGAAGGGUGUUGAGCUAAUUUAUCAAAUAUUAUAGUAUAUGGUCCUAUAUGUAGCAUUAUAUAGAGUAUAUGAUUAAUUAGGGGUGAAAGGCCUCCCAAAAUAUCCGAUAUCUUGUUUUUUAGGAAAACUAUUAAGUAGGUAAUUCAGCUUUGAAGUGGCGAGAUUUCAAAGUGGUACGAAACUAAGGAUUAAUAGGGUAAAUUGUUUAACAAUAAUUACUUUCCCCAUUCUAAUAUUUAUUAUCUGGUUUUUGUACCUAUUACUAGGAUGUAUUUAAUAAUUAAGUAGAAUAAUAUUACUGUUAAUAUAAGUAUUAUAUAAUAAAUUUAGAGUAGGAACUCGGCAAACGUGUUACUCAACUGUUUACCAAAAACAUAGCCAGGUGUUUACAUACUUGGUUACUUCUGCUCAAUGGUAAGCUAAAUAGCCGCAGUACCCUGACUGUGCAAAGGUAGCAUAAUCAUUUGGCUUAUAAUUGAAGUCUGGCAUGAAAGAACUUAUGGGUAGCAACUGUCUUCUAUGAACCCUUAGAAUUUACUUAGUAGGUGAAAAUUCCUACGGCUUAAUAAUAGACGAGAAGACCCUAGAAAUUUUAAUAUAAAAGUAUUUUACUUACCUUACUAUUUUGUUGGGGCGACGGAAUAACAGUUAACUUAUUUUACUUAAUUUGCACUACUUGCUGUGAAAAAUUAAAUUACUCUAGGGAUAACAGCAUAAUUUACUAAAGUUUGUGACCUCGAUGUUGGACUAGGGUUUUUAAUAAUCAGAAGUUAUUAAACUAGGCUCUGUUCGAGCUUUAUUUCCUACAUGAUCUGAGUUCAGACCGG